GGCGUUUCCUGGUGGACUCCGGCUCACAGAAGAGCCUUCUUCCCCCGGCUGGCUCGGACAGGCUAGCUGAGGGCUGCGGGCCAUUGCUAACAGCGGCUAAUGGCUCUCCCAUCAAAACCUUCGGUGAAAGGACUACCCCCGGACCACCGACGUUUGAGCCUCCUUCUGCCUUUCCUGCUCGCCUUCACCAGCCUCGUUCACAGGAUGGACCUUCCUCUGCCUGUUCUCUCCCUCCCAGGUUCAGUCGUUCGGGUCGUUUGCUUAGGCCCAGGGUCCUGGACUGAAUAGAGACCUAACUGUGUGUUCAAGGGGGGGUAUGUGUGGCGGACCACCAGAUGGCUCCACUCACACCCAAGUUGAAGGGAAGAGCUGGGUGGAGAUUUUGGCGCUUACUGUAUCUUAAGUUCUGAGAGACAGUGUGUGAAUAAACAGUUGGAGUGAGACACAGGGA
Molecule: long non-coding RNA, 451 nt
Organism: Oreochromis aureus
Lineage: Eukaryota; Metazoa; Chordata; Actinopteri; Cichliformes; Cichlidae
Exons: 2
Source: RefSeq, a predicted model, not a curated record